Lonchura striata (white-rumped munia) is the source of this 295-nucleotide long non-coding RNA. RefSeq lists it as uncharacterized. NCBI's taxonomy places the organism in Eukaryota, Metazoa, Chordata, Aves, Passeriformes, Estrildidae. The record is from RefSeq and is a predicted model, not a curated record.
GACAAGGGAGGAGGCUGAUAAGAGGCAAAUCCUACUGAGGUGAAAGAGUGCUUUUCAUCAUGCCAAUGUCCAUACACAAGUGGCUCAGCUGUGAAGACUGCCCUCUGGGGAAGCACCAGGACAUUCACAUCUCAGGACUCCCACCACUGAGAAGCCCAGGAUGAUUAAGGAUCAACAGGAUGCCACUGGAUCCUUAAGUGGUGACUGAUCUGUCUGCAUCCCUCCUCUCUUUUCCAUUUCUUUCUCUCUCUCCACCUCACAUUUUGUUGUUCAAUUAAAUCUGUGAAAAACUGCA